CAGCAGCCGCGGUAAGACAGAGGAUGCAAGCGUUAUCCGGAAUUAUUGGGCGUAAAGGGCUCGCAGGUGGUUUCUUAAGUCUGAUGUGAAAGCCCCCGGCUCAACCGGGGAGGGUCAUUGGAAACUGGGAAACUUGAGUGCAGAAGAGGAGAGUGGAAUUCCACGUGUAGCGGUGAAAUGCGUAGAGAUGUGGAGGAACACCAGUGGCGAAGGCGACUCUCUGGUCUGUAACUGACGCUGGGGAGCGAAAGCGUGGGGAGCGAACAGGAUUAGAUACCCCUGUAGUCCCUGUCUCUUAUAA
This 301-nucleotide ribosomal RNA is filed under the name uncultured bacterium. RNAcentral's name for it is "partial 16S ribosomal RNA". It matches the Rfam family "Bacterial small subunit ribosomal RNA", at positions 509 to 809 of the family's 1533-position model. The record is from RNAcentral.